Long non-coding RNA from Callithrix jacchus (white-tufted-ear marmoset), 2630 nucleotides. RefSeq lists it as uncharacterized. Lineage: Eukaryota; Metazoa; Chordata; Mammalia; Primates; Cebidae. The record is from RefSeq and is a predicted model, not a curated record.
CCGGAGGGUAUGGAAGGGCCGGCUGCCUGGAGGGUAUGGGAGCAGGUAAGAUCCCGGGCAGUGGCACUGCAAAGUGGAAGGCCCAGCUGCCUUUUUAUGACAGACGGAGGAGGCGUUUUCAAAGUGAUGACAACGUUUCUGAACAGGAAAGUGGGUCUCUCUUCUUCCCCAACAGUCUUAGAGCAUCUAAAAAUAAAGCAGGCAUCAAGAGAGCAUCCCAGCAGUGCCACCACAACACAGGGCUCGAACGUGGACGGGAGAGGGGCCUUAGUGGACCCGGAGGCUGAGCUGGCCUCACAGCAUUGGUGCUGGGGGAGGAUGGACGGUUAGGAUCCUGGGUCUUUGGCCCCACAGCCUAGGCUGUGGCCCGAGGUCUCAGUCUACCCAUCUGUGAAAUGAGGGGGAGCUGGUCCUGACUGCCUCCCAGGGACCUCGUGAAAAGCCGCUGUGAACUCUUCGCAGAGAGGAGGUGUGCUGGUGCCGCCAUCCAGCAUUUCCUGGGGCCAACUCUGCUCGGGGUACUGUGUAAAGGAAUCCACAGCCAUCGACUUCCCUUCAUCCUUGCCAUGUCUCUGAAACAAUCCCUUCUGGGUCUUUUAUUCCUCCGUCAGAUGCCUCAAGAUGGCCACAUGGGAGGCCCUGUGCCAUGGUGUGAGCUGUGACCACAGCCAGAGUGGCUGCAUCAGAUAGAGGCCAGGGAAGCAGGAGGACAGAAAAAUCCAAUUUCUUUAAGUGGAUAUUGGCUACAGAAGUCUCAUCUUGGACAGCUCUGCCACUGCUUUCUGCCCUCUGUGAUUUUAAAGAUGACAGGUUUGUUUCUGCCUCGGGGCCUCUGCACUGGUCUUUUCUUUUUCAUGAUUAUUCUUUCCCUAGAAUUCUCUGUGCAUCACUGGCUCUCAUCUUGCCAUUCAGGGGUCAGCUCAGAUGGUGCUUUUUCAGGGAGGCUUCCCCAGCCAGACCAUCUAAUGGUAACUGAGCACUCCACCGAAUUCUGUUUCUUAUCCCAUCCAAUUGUGUCCUCAGCACUCAACACUUUUUGAGAUUUUCUUGCGUCAUUAUUUAUUAAUAUGUUUCUUGUCUGUUUUCCCCAAUAGCUUGCAAGUUUCAUGAGCCUAGAGGUUUAGCUUCUUUGUUCACUCUCUUAUUGAUAGAAGCUGAUACAGUAAAGGUGCUCAGUAAACAGCUAAUGAAUAGAUGCGUGCAUGAAUGAAUGAAUGACCAUCUAAGACAGAUCAAGGUGAGCCUGCUUUGAGUUGGAGCAGGUAUAGAGGGCUGUGACCCUGCUGGCUGGACCACCUCUCAGGAUCACCCUCCUCCUACAGUCUUUAAGGCCCCCCUCCCACCAGGGUGUCACAAAGCCAAGUUUGAAAACCACUGCAUUGAAAAACUACCUUUUGGGUACCAUGCUCACUACCUGGGUGAUGGGAUCAAUCAUACCCAAACCUCAGCAUCACACAACAUACUCAUAACAAACCCACACAGGUACAACUUGAAUCUAAAAUAAAAAUUGAAAUUUAAAAAAAACCCCACAAAACCACUAUUGGGAGGCCGGGCAUUAGGAUCACCUGAGGUUGGGAGUUCAAGACCAGCUUGGCCAACUUGGAGAAACCCUGUCUCUACUAAAAAUACAAAAUUAGCUGGGUGUGGUGGCACAUGCCUGUAAUCCCAGCUACUCGGGAUUACAGAAUCGCUUGAACCUGGGAGGCAGAGGUUGUCGUGAGCUGAGAUCACACCACUGCACUCCAUCCUAGGCUGGGCAACAAGAGCAAAACUCGUCUCAUACAAAAUAAAACAAAACAAAAACCACUGGACUUCAUUACUUUAGACUCCUCGCAGCUCUGACAACCCAUAGCUAAUUCUAAAAACAGUGGUACAGCCAGGAAGCUCCAGGGUUUCAGAGAAGGGCAAGUUCAAUAAUGAUUCCAGUAGUCUCCGAGGAGGUAGGUGGCCUUUAAACUGGUUUGGAGAUUUAGAGAUGGUGCAAAGAGCCCUCGAGGAGGAAGAGAGGAGAAGCAAAGUUUUGGGAGGGCAGGAAUUUGGGGCUAUUUCAGACAACCAUUAGGAGUCAGGGGAAAUUGAGUGUUGGAAAAGGCCAGAUAUCUGGGGGCCUUGGAUGCCCAGGUGAGACCACGUGCCUGAUGGGCAGCACAUGGGAGCAGGCAUUGAUGCUUUGGGCAGAGCGGUGAAGUCACCAGGGUCUUGCAUUUGGGCAAUGAGGUGGAGAGGGCAGGAGUGGAGGCUGAGUGAUAACGAGGGCUGAAUCAAGGCAGUGGGGAUGGCAUCAAGGAUGGGAUCCAGGCGAGAAAGAAACGAAGAAUGGAGCUGAUUGAGCAGCGAAUUAAUGUGGAGGGGAAGGAAGAGAAAGAGUCUGAGGUAGCACUGAGGUUUCCUACCCAGCUUGGGGGACGGUGUCCUUGUUCAGGAGUUUUGAGUGACUGUCAUCAGGGAUGGUCGGGGAGGGGUGGGCUUGCAGACAGGAAGCUCCCCCAGCCCCAGGCAGGGAGGGUGAGUCUUCCCAACUCAGCCACGUCCCACUUCAGGCUGCCUGGGUAAAGAGGAGCUUUCACAGGCCAGGUGUGGUGGCUCAUACCUGUAAUCCCAGCACUUUGGGAGGCCGAGGUGGGUGGAUC